UAACGCGUGAGAACCUGCCUUCAGAAUGGGGACAACAGUUGGAAACGACUGCUAAUACCCAAUGUGCCGAAAGGUGAAAGAUUUAUCGUCUGAAGAUGGGCUCGCGUCUGAUUAGCUAGAUGGUGGGGUAAGAGCCUACCAUGGCAACGAUCAGUAGCUGGUCUGAGAGGAUGAGCAGCCACACUGGGACUGAGACACGGCCCAGACUCCUACGGGAGGCAGCAGUGGGGAAUUUUCCGCAAUGGGCGAAAGCCUGACGGAGCAAUACCGCGUGAGGGAGGAAGGUCCUUGGAUUGUAAACCUCUUUUAUCAGGGAAGAAAAAAAUGACGGUACCUGAUGAAUAAGCAUCGGCUAACUCCGUGCCAGCAGCCGCGGUAAUACGGAGGAUGCAAGCGUUAUCCGGAAUUAUUGGGCGUAAAGCGUCCGUAGGUGGUUUUGCAAGUCUGCUGUUAAAGAAUGGAGCUUAACUCCAUAAGAGCGGUGGAAACUGCAAGACUAGAGUACAGUAGGGGUAGCAGGAAUUCCCAGUGUAGCGGUGAAAUGCGUAGAUAUUGGGAAGAACAUCGGUGGCGAAAGCGUGCUACUGGGCUGAAACUGACACUGAGGGACGAAAGCUA
This 618-nucleotide ribosomal RNA is filed under the name Synechocystis salina LEGE 00027. RNAcentral describes it as "bacterial SSU rRNA". It matches the Rfam family "Bacterial small subunit ribosomal RNA", at positions 111 to 762 of the family's 1533-position model. The record is from RNAcentral. Lineage: Bacteria; Bacillati; Cyanobacteriota; Cyanophyceae; Synechococcales; Merismopediaceae.